RNAcentral lists this non-coding RNA (21 nucleotides) under Arabidopsis thaliana (thale cress). Lineage: Eukaryota; Viridiplantae; Streptophyta; Magnoliopsida; Brassicales; Brassicaceae. The record is from RNAcentral.
UCGAUCAAUUAAAGCCACUGC